UGCCAGCCGCCGCGGUAAUACGAAGGGUGCUAGCGUUGUUCGGAAUUACUGGGCGUAAAGAGCAUGUAGGCGGAUGAAUUAGUCAGAGGUGAAAGCCCCGAGCUCAACUUGGGAACUGCCUUUGAUACUGUUUAUCUAGAGUCCGAGAGAGGUUAGUGGAAUUCCCAGUGUAGAGGUGAAAUUCGUAGAUAUUGGGAAGAACACCAGUGGCGAAGGCGGUCUCUUGGUCCGAAACUGACGCUGAGGCGCGAAAGCGUGGGGAGCAAACAGGAUUAGAUA
This 279-nucleotide ribosomal RNA is filed under the name uncultured bacterium. RNAcentral's name for it is "partial 16S ribosomal RNA". It matches the Rfam family "Bacterial small subunit ribosomal RNA", at positions 506 to 784 of the family's 1533-position model. The record is from RNAcentral.